AUUGAACGCUGGCGGCAGGCCUAACACAUGCAAGUCGAGCGGUAGCACAGAGAGCUUGCUCUCGGGUGACGAGCGGCGGACGGGUGAGUAAUGUCUGGGAAACUGCCUGAUGGAGGGGGAUAACUACUGGAAACGGUAGCUAAUACCGCAUAACGUCGCAAGACCAAAGUGGGGGACCUUCGGGCCUCAUGCCAUCAGAUGUGCCCAGAUGGGAUUAGCUAGUAGGUGGGGUAAUGGCUCACCUAGGCGACGAUCCCUAGCUGGUCUGAGAGGAUGACCAGCCACACUGGAACUGAGACACGGUCCAGACUCCUACGGGAGGCAGCAGUGGGGAAUAUUGCACAAUGGGCGCAAGCCUGAUGCAGCCAUGCCGCGUGUGUGAAGAAGGCCUUCGGGUUGUAAAGCACUUUCAGCGGGGAGGAAGGCGUUAAGGUUAAUAACCUUGGCGAUUGACGUUACCCGCAGAAGAAGCACCGGCUAACUCCGUGCCAGCAGCCGCGGUAAUACGGAGGGUGCAAGCGUUAAUCGGAAUUACUGGGCGUAAAGCGCACGCAGGCGGUCUGUCAAGUCGGAUGUGAAAUCCCCGGGCUCAACCUGGGAACUGCAUUCGAAACUGGCAGGCUAGAGUCUUGUAGAGGGGGGUAGAAUUCCAGGUGUAGCGGUGAAAUGCGUAGAGAUCUGGAGGAAUACCGGUGGCGAAGGCGGCCCCCUGGACAAAGACUGGCGCUCAGGUGCGAAAGCGUGGGGAGCAAACAGGAUUAGAUACCCUGGUAGUCCACGCCGUAAACGAUGUCGAUUUGGAGGUUGUGCCCUUGAGGCGUGGCUUCCGGAGCUAACGCGUUAAAUCGACCGCCUGGGGAGUACGGCCGCAAGGUUAAAACUCAAAUGAAUUGACGGGGGCCCGCACAAGCGGUGGAGCAUGUGGUUUAAUUCGAUGCAACGCGAAGAACCUUACCUGGUCUUGACAUCCACAGAACUUUCCAGAGAUGGAUUGGUGCCUUCGGGAACUGUGAGACAGGUGCUGCAUGGCUGUCGUCAGCUCGUGUUGUGAAAUGUUGGGUUAAGUCCCGCAACGAGCGCAACCCUUAUCCUUUGUUGCCAGCGGUUAGGCCGGGAACUCAAAGGAGACUGCCAGUGAUAAACUGGAGGAAGGUGGGGAUGACGUCAAGUCAUCAUGGCCCUUACGACCAGGGCUACACACGUGCUACAAUGGCAUAUACAAAGAGAAGCGACCUCGCGAGAGCAAGCGGACCUCAUAAAGUAUGUCGUAGUCCGGAUUGGAGUCUGCAACUCGACUCCAUGAAGUCGGAAUCGCUAGUAAUCGUAGAUCAGAAUGCUACGGUGAAUACGUUCCCGGGCCUUGUACACACCGCCCGUCACACCAUGGGAGUGGGUUGCAAAAGAAGUAGGUAGCUUAACCUUCGGGAGGGCGCUUACCACUUUGUGAUUCAUGACUGGGGUGA
This 1463-nucleotide ribosomal RNA is filed under the name uncultured Klebsiella sp. RNAcentral's name for it is "bacterial SSU rRNA". It matches the Rfam family "Bacterial small subunit ribosomal RNA". The record is from RNAcentral. Lineage: Bacteria; Pseudomonadati; Pseudomonadota; Gammaproteobacteria; Enterobacterales; Enterobacteriaceae.